RNAcentral lists this ribosomal RNA (458 nucleotides) under uncultured bacterium. RNAcentral's name for it is "partial 16S ribosomal RNA". It matches the Rfam family "Bacterial small subunit ribosomal RNA", at positions 28 to 507 of the family's 1533-position model. The record is from RNAcentral.
GACGAACGCUGGCGGCGUGCUUCAUACAUGCAAGUCGAACGAGAAGCUGACUUCGGUCCGUGGCUAGUGGCGGACGGGGGCGUAAUAUGUAGGAAAUCUGCCCUUAGGAGUGGGACAACAGAGGGAACCUUCAGCUAAUACCACAAAUGAGCGUAGCUGAAAUGCUCUUCUUGAAAUCUCCGGUGCCUAUAGUUGGGACUGCAACUGAUUAGCUAGUUGGUGGUGUAAUGGAUGACCAAGGCGAUGAUCAGUAGCUGGAUGGCGAGGAUGCUCAGCCACAAUGUGACUGAGACACGGCCCGUACUCCUUCGGGAGGCAGCGGUAGGGUAUUUGGCGCAAGCGGCGAAAGCCAGGAGCGGCUACGCCGCGUAAACGUUUGAGCCCAUCGAAGUGCAAAGUUCUGUCAGUGUAGACGAAACUUGACGGUACCCACAGAGAAAGCACCGGCUAACUCCGUG